CACGUAGGGGGCGAGCGUUGUCCGGAUUUAUUGGGCGUAAAGAGCUCGUAGGCGGCUAAGUAAGUCGGGUGUGAAAACUCCAGGCUCAACCUGGAGACGCCACCUGAUACUGCUUUGGCUAGAGUCCGGUAGGGGAGCAUGGAAUUCCUGGUGUAGCGGUGAAAUGCGCAGAUAUCAGGAGGAACACCAGUGGCGAAGGCGGUGCUCUGGGCCGGAACUGACGCUGAGGAGCGAAAGCUAGGGGAGCGAACGGG
RNAcentral lists this ribosomal RNA (254 nucleotides) under uncultured bacterium. RNAcentral describes it as "partial 16S ribosomal RNA". It matches the Rfam family "Bacterial small subunit ribosomal RNA", at positions 524 to 776 of the family's 1533-position model. The record is from RNAcentral.